RNAcentral lists this ribosomal RNA (460 nucleotides) under uncultured bacterium. Its description in RNAcentral is "partial 16S ribosomal RNA". It matches the Rfam family "Bacterial small subunit ribosomal RNA", at positions 338 to 795 of the family's 1533-position model. The record is from RNAcentral.
CCUACGGGAGGCAGCAGUGAGGAAUAUUGGUCAAUGGACGAGAGUCUGAACCAGCCAAGUAGCGUGAAGGAUGACUGCCCUAUGGGUUGUAAACUUCUUUUAUAUGGGAAUAAAAUGUUCCACGUGUGGGAUUUUGUAUGUACCAUAUGAAUAAGGAUCGGCUAACUCCGUGCCAGCAGCCGCGGUAAUACGGAGGAUCCGAGCGUUAUCCGGAUUUAUUGGGUUUAAAGGGAGCGUAGGUGGAGUGUUAAGUCAGUUGUGAAAGUUUGCGGCGCAACCGUAAAAUUGCAGUUGAAACUGGCAGUCUUGAGUACAGUAGAGGUGGGCGGAAUUCGUGGUGUAGCGGUGAAAUGCUUAGAUAUCACGAAGAACUCCGAUUGCGAAGGCAGUUCACUGGACUGCAACUGACACUGAGGCUCGAAAGUGUGGGUAUCAAACAGGAUUAGAUACCCCGGUAGUC